This 465-nucleotide ribosomal RNA is filed under the name Vreelandella stevensii. RNAcentral describes it as "partial 16S ribosomal RNA". It matches the Rfam family "Bacterial small subunit ribosomal RNA", at positions 338 to 795 of the family's 1533-position model. Lineage: Bacteria; Pseudomonadati; Pseudomonadota; Gammaproteobacteria; Oceanospirillales; Halomonadaceae. The record is from RNAcentral.
CCUACGGGAGGUUGCAGUGGGGAAUAUUGGACAAUGGGGGCAACCCUGAUCCAGCCAUGCCGCGUGUGUGAAGAAGGCCCUCGGGUUGUAAAGCACUUUCAGUGAGGAAGAACGCCUGGUGGUUAAUACCCAUCAGGAAAGACAUCACUCACAGAAGAAGCACCGGCUAACUCCGUGCCAGCAGCCGCGGUAAUACGGAGGGUGCGAGCGUUAAUCGGAAUUACUGGGCGUAAAGCGCGCGUAGGUGGCUUGAUAAGCCGGUUGUGAAAGCCCCGGGCUCAACCUGGGAACGGCAUCCGGAACUGUCAAGCUAGAGUGCAGGAGAGGAAGGUAGAAUUCCCGGUGUAGCGGUGAAAUGCGUAGAGAUCGGGAGGAAUACCAGUGGCGAAGGCGGCCUUCUGGACUGACACUGACACUGAGGUGCGAAAGCGUGGGUAGCAAACAGGAUUAGAUACCCCAGUAGUC